Molecule: unclassified non-coding RNA, 422 nt
Filed under: Hevea brasiliensis (rubber tree)
Lineage: Eukaryota; Viridiplantae; Streptophyta; Magnoliopsida; Malpighiales; Euphorbiaceae
Source: RNAcentral
GCUGAAGAUGCUGAAAUGGAGGCUAAAGUUUGAAAACUUAUAGUUAAGAUGGAAGGAAGAUGCUUUACGAGAAACUAGAAACAUUUCAUCCAAACUAGUGUCUUAUAAACUAUGGGCAAUCCAAUACAUUGUCAGAGAACAGGAGCUUGUAUUCCAUUAUUACUGAUCUGGGAUGAAAUGUUACCCAUUGAAAAUGUACCAAAACUUCACCUUUCAAGAUUUUACUGGAGAGGUCACAUAAAAGAAUAGAUCAGGGACUAUGGCUUUAAAUCAAUCACAAUAUAGCCCAGGAUAGAACUGUCUUAUGGUUCACACUUUACAAUUACUUUGAAGCAUUUUAUAUCUUCAGCUAAACAAUUUUCAUACAUCCCUACCUGCAUAUUUAUGCGAAAAGAGAUUCUACACAGAUACAGCCUGAUUUU